RNAcentral lists this small nucleolar RNA (123 nucleotides) under Chinchilla lanigera (long-tailed chinchilla). RNAcentral's name for it is "Small nucleolar RNA SNORA70 (ENSCLAG00000018359.1)". It matches the Rfam family "Small nucleolar RNA SNORA70". Rfam says of the family: snoRNA U70 seems to be exclusive to mammals and is a member of the H/ACA class of snoRNA which contain H (ANANNA) and ACA box motifs. H/ACA box snoRNAs are involved in the conversion of uridines to pseudouridines (5-ribosyluracil) a constituent of structural RNAs (transfer, ribosomal, small nuclear, and small nucleolar). The record is from Rfam by way of RNAcentral. Lineage: Eukaryota; Metazoa; Chordata; Mammalia; Rodentia; Chinchillidae.
CUGCAGCCAAUCACUCCAAGCGGGCUCCCUUCCUGGCAGAGGUCUUGCGCGCAGUGACUGCAAACAGCAGUAAAUGCAGCCCGUUAUUUGCAUGGGCUGCUCUAAGGGACCUUGGAGCCUGCC